Molecule: ribosomal RNA, 552 nt
Filed under: uncultured bacterium
Lineage: Bacteria
Description: bacterial SSU rRNA
Rfam family: Bacterial small subunit ribosomal RNA
Source: RNAcentral
GGANUUGCCANUGGGCGAAAGCCUGAUGCAGCGACGCCGCGUGGGGGAUGAAGCUUCUCGGAGUGUAAACCCCUUUCGACCCGGACGAAUACCUCGCAAGAGGGGUGACGGUACGGGUAUAAGAAGCCCCGGCUAACUACGUGCCAGCAGCCGCGGUAAGACGUGGGGGGCCAGCGUUGCUCGGAAUUACUGGGUGUAAAGGGUCAGUAGGCGGUGUGGCAAGUCGGGAGUGAAAUCUCUGGGCUUAACUCAGAGACUGCUUCCGAAACUGCUGUGCUUGAGUGUGGGAGAGGCGCGUGGAAUUGCAGGUGUAGCGGUGAAAUGCGUAGAUAUCUGCAGGAACACCCGUGGCGAAAGCGGCGCGCUGGACCAUAACUGACGCUGAAUGACGAAAGCUAGGGGAGCAAACAGGAUUAGAUACCCUGGUAGUCCUAGCCCUAAACGAUCAGGACUUGGGGUGCCACCCGUUCGGGUGUCGUCCCGGAGCUAACGCGUUAAGUCCUGCACCUGGGGAGUACGGUCGCAAGACUGAAACUCAAAAAAAUUGACGGA